AGCCGCAGACAAAGUAAAUUUUUGGCGGAAUUUAUUUUAUUUUGUUUCCUGUAUGCAAUUGAGCGGAAGUUAUCUUUUUUUUUAAAUUAAAUUGUUGUAAAUGUUCUUAAAAUGUUUAAUUAAAUUAAAAAAUGGGCAUUUGUUCAGAGUUUGAGAGUUAUAUAACACCAGCAAAAUAAACUUCUUAAAAAACUGGGAUUUUGUUUUGUAAAAGAAAAAACAGAAACAUAUACUCGUAUGUAAAUAAUACAUGCAACGAUUUGCAGUUUCAAUUUUUUAAAAAUGCAGUUUCUACAGUUCACCAAAGAAUACCACUCCAUGGAAACAGGAUCAGAAUCAUUUCUCAAAUUAGCCGUUCGGAUUCAGCUUAAAACUGAAGGUCCCCCAUCCCUGACAACAGUACUCGCACACACGAAUGGUUGAGCGUUGUAAGUCGCUGGGCCCUAUAGUUCUCAACGGAGAGUUGCGCCACCCAAAUAAAAAUUUAUUUUUAUCCAAAUUAUGACCACCAUGUUGACAAGAAUACUUCCAUUUUGAAAAGGAAUCGUAAGCUAUAACGCCGCCUAACAUUACUGCACGAGGAUUUAAAAGAACGUUUCGAGAUCAAUUUUAUUGUGACGUGCUAAAGCAAUACUUCAUGACUGUCAAGAAUAUAAAUACAGACUACGGUGUACGGUCAUAGAUUCUUCGUCAGAAUAAAUGUGCGAUUUCUAAGAACGGCAUUGCAAGUGUGGAUGAAAGGUACACCUGAUCGCAAGCUGGAAGAAGAAUUAUUUUCAGGAAAGAUUUUUACUAUUUUGAAGACGCAACAAACAACUUCUGAGUUUGAACCGGAAAACCGGUGCUUUCGUUUGAAAAAACACUAUUUUAAACCCGGAAAUCGAAAAUUUAUAUUCCUGGGUUAGUAUUUUCAAACCACCUGAUUGAGUAAUGGAACAUUUGUUAUCCUUAAACGUUUUUAAACGUGAAGAAAAAGUCCCAGGUUUAUAAAAAUAAUAGAAAUAAUAACAAAAAGACAACAUUAUUUGCGAUGAAAAAAUAAAACCACUUUUCAACAAAACAAAACUUUAUAAAGAAUUUGUUAAACAAUAUUUAAGAAAGCCAGAAUAUUAAA
Long non-coding RNA from Eupeodes corollae, 1114 nucleotides. RefSeq lists it as uncharacterized. The record is from RefSeq and is a predicted model, not a curated record. The transcript is spliced from 5 exons. NCBI's taxonomy places the organism in Eukaryota, Metazoa, Arthropoda, Insecta, Diptera, Syrphidae.